This 253-nucleotide ribosomal RNA is filed under the name uncultured bacterium. Its description in RNAcentral is "partial 16S ribosomal RNA". It matches the Rfam family "Bacterial small subunit ribosomal RNA", at positions 524 to 776 of the family's 1533-position model. The record is from RNAcentral.
UACAGAGGUCCCGAGCGUUGUUCGGAUUCACUGGGCGUAAAGGGUGCGUAGGUGGCUUGAAAAGUUUGAUGUGAAAGCUCAGGGCUUAACCCUGAAAUGGCAUUGAAUACUGUCGAGCUGGAGGUUUGGAGGGGGGACUGGAAUUCUUGGUGUAGCAGUGAAAUGCGUAGAUAUCAAGAGGAACACCAGUGGCGAAGGCGAGUCCCUGGACAACACCUGACACUGAGGCACGAAAGCGUGGGGAGCAAACAGG